RNAcentral lists this ribosomal RNA (361 nucleotides) under uncultured actinobacterium WB023. RNAcentral describes it as "bacterial SSU rRNA". It matches the Rfam family "Bacterial small subunit ribosomal RNA", at positions 121 to 500 of the family's 1533-position model. Lineage: Bacteria; Bacillati; Actinomycetota; Actinomycetes. The record is from RNAcentral.
GCAACCUGCCCCGAAGACCGGAAUAACACCGGGAAACCGAUGCUAAUACCGGAUACCCCCACGAGUCCGCAUGGACAUGUGAGGAAAUGGAUCCCGCUUCGGGAGGGGCUCGCGGCCUAUCAGCUUGUUGGUGGGGUAAUGGCCUACCAAGGCGACGACGGGUAGCUGGUCAGAGAGGACGAUCAGCCACACUGGGACUGAGACACGGCCCAGACUCCUACGGGAGGCAGCAGUAGGGAAUCUUGCGCAAUGGGCGAAAGCCUGACGCAGCAACGCCGCGUGGGGGAUGAAGGCCUUCGGGUUGUAAACUCCUUUCAGUGGGAACGAAAUUGACGGUACCCACAGAAGAAGCCCCGGCUAA